Molecule: RNA transcript, 2707 nt
Organism: Triticum dicoccoides
Lineage: Eukaryota; Viridiplantae; Streptophyta; Magnoliopsida; Poales; Poaceae
Gene name: beta-glucuronosyltransferase GlcAT14A-like
Exons: 7
Source: RefSeq, a predicted model, not a curated record
GCCUGGCACAGGCAAAGAGAGAGAGAGAGAGAGAGAGAGAGAGAAACGUACGCGAGAGGGAGAGGAGAGGAGAUCGAGCUGCCGCUGCGCCCACCCGAUCUCGCCCGCCAUUCCCCACCCCCGAUGCGAUCUCGCCGCCAAACCCUAGCAGCAGCGACCCCCACCAGCACCCCGCCGGAGUCCCCCCAGCGCCGCCCGCCUCGGCGUUGACGCGCCCCGCGCCCCUCCGCUCCCGCGGCCAGCUCGCUCCCCACCGCUGCUGCUGCUUCAUAGCGCGGGAAGCGGGCGAUGGGGGCAGCGGACAAGUGGCUGCUGCCGCUGGUGUCCGUCUCCUUCGUCUCGCUCAUGCUCUUCCUCUCCGCGCUCUCGGGCUACUCGGCCUCCUCCGCGCUCUUCGCGCGCCUCCCGCCGCCCAGCUACGUGCGGCGCGGGGCCGCCGCGCCGCCCGCCUUCGCGUACCUGCUCUCGGGCGGCCGCGGGGACGGCCGCAGGCUCCUGCGCCUGCUCCUCGCCGUCUACCACCCCCGGAACCAGUACCUGCUCCACCUCUCCGCGGACGCGCCCGAGGCCGAGCGCCUCGAGCUCGCCGCCGCCGUCGCGCGGGCCGCGCCCGCAAUCGCCGCCUUCGGGAACGUCGACGUCGUCGGCCGCCCCGCCGCCGGCACCCCCAUGGGCUCCUCCGGCCUCGCCGCCACGCUCCGCGCCGCCGCCGCCUUGCUCCGGCUCGACGCCGAGUGGGACUGGUUCGUCACGCUCAGCGCCGCCGAUUACCCGCUCCUCACCCAGGACGACCUGAUUCAUGUCUUCUCGUCUGUGCCAAGGCACCUCAACUUCAUCGAUCACACUAGUGAUAUUGGUUGGAAAGAGUCUCAGAGAGUGCAACCAGUGAUAGUAGAUGCUGGGAUAUACCUGGCUGGCAGGAAUCAGUUCUUCCAAUCCACAGAGAAACGGGCAACUCCAGAUGGUUUCAAAUUCUUCACAGGUUCUCCUUGGGUCAUUCUAAACCGGCGGUUUAUAGAGUACUGCAUUUUCGGAUGGGAGAACCUCCCUCGAACCCUUCUCAUGUACUUCACCAACGUGAUGCUGCCUUUGGAAGGUUAUUUCCACUCGGUCGCGUGCAACUCGGACUUCCGCAACUUCACGGUGAACAACGACUUGCGGUACGUGGCCUGGGACGACCCGCCUCAGAUGGAGCCCCGGUUUCUGAACAUCACACAUUAUGAGGAGAUUGUGGAGAGCGGGGUGCCCUUUGCUAGGAAGUUCCGGGAGAAAGAGUAUCUGCUGGACAAGAUUGAUGAGAAAAUACUCCAGCGGUGGCGCCACGGACCUGUUCCUGGAGCGUGGUGCACAGGCAGAAAGAGAUGGUUCAGCGAUCCAUGCUCCCAGUGGAGCAACGUCAACAUUGUAAGACCCGGGCCCCAAGCCGAGAAGUUCCGCAGAUACAUGGACCGGAUCCUGGAAGAAUCGAAGUCGAGCAACAGCUCAUGCGCGCAAUAGCAGCACUGAACCGCGUGGCUGCGUGCACUUUCCGGCAGUCGAGCGUGUCUCAUUUUGCACAGAUCGAGUGGCUCUCCGCGUGUUCAGAACUCCGGCAUUUCCGCCUCCUGUGGGAGCAUUUUUGCUGCAGCUGGGUUGUGCGCACAGGGCCAAGGAUAGGAAGAAGAUUAUCAAAAGCUUGAAGGGGAAGAUUAUGAAGCUUGCUCUCAGUGAUUAUGUAUGCCUUGUUUUAAUUGAAGAGCUGAUAAAGCAGUUAAAGGAACUCAUAUUUGACAAGGUAAAAGGAAUUCCAAGCUUGUGAUGUGCUUACUUUUAAUUGCUAGUUAUAUUCACAUGAGACUAUUUAUGUUGGAGCUCUUUGCUGGAACAGAACGGGAGACACCCAUUGCUGCAGAUAUUUCACCCACAUGGCUCACAUUAUCUGACUGUGACUGAUUUGAUUUAUCGGAAUUACAACGUGUCUUCCCUUAUUUCAAAGGCAAAUUACCUAUUCUAUUAACUCUUAAGUACUUUGAAGAGAAACAGGCCCCCAGAAAAUUGCUUCUUUUGUUUCAGGAUGAGGCAUCAGUUAACUUGGAUAAUGUAGUUGACAAAGAACAUGAGGGUUCAUAAGACACACAGGUUGCAUCUGAUAGCAUGAAGGACCCGAUUAAAUGGCGGCAAGAACUGUUGGUGAAAAGAGAGCUUUGUGAGGUUCUCAUUGAGACUUGCAUUGAAAAUGUUGUAGAGUUAGUUCGAACAAACUUUGGUGAAGAUGUAUUAUAUGAAGUGAUCUCCUUAGUCCAUGGUCUAUGCUUCUACCUGUACUUCUAUAACCGGUAUCUCGGGAUAAUAUUCAUUCAUAUAUGACAUUUCUUCCCGAAAGGAACUACUGUGAUAAAUAUGCUUAUACUUGCUUGACCUUCUGAUAAACUGUUGGUUUAACCUCUGUUUUCCUGAUUGUUAUUCGACAAUCUGGAAAUAUUCUUAUAAGUUGAUGGAACCUUUUUCUCUGGGAUGUUCCUUAGGCCCAUGCGCAGUAUUAAUGUUAUUCACUUUUCCUUAAUGAUGAAUUAACCUCCUGUAAAAGAAAAUGACACUCCAGUCUACACACCAACGUACCUACUGUUUUCUUAGUCCGACUCUUGAUACAAAUGAGUAAUCAACUGUUAAAGGGUGCCAUGAUUGAACACAUUUUCGCUUUGUAAGAGGUAGUGCUGAUAUGCUUACU